RNAcentral lists this ribosomal RNA (3354 nucleotides) under Triticum aestivum (bread wheat). RNAcentral's name for it is "partial small subunit ribosomal RNA". Lineage: Eukaryota; Viridiplantae; Streptophyta; Magnoliopsida; Poales; Poaceae. The record is from RNAcentral.
AUGGAGGCUGCAACGGCCACUGCUUUUGUGGGUAGGAUCGCGCCGAAGCUCUUGGAGUUCUUAGCUGCAAAUCACAAGCUUAGGCAGAACCUGGAGCAUGACAUCACCUACAUCCAAAGAGAGUUUGCGUUGAUUUCUGCCGCCAUCCAGCAAGACGAUGAGUGCCGCUGGAGGAGCGGCGCCGUCGGCGACCAUGUGCAGAGGGCUUGGAUCCAAAUCAUACGUGACUUGGCGCAUGCCAUCGAAGACUGCAUCGACCGCUUCAUGCACCGGGUGACCAUCUCUGGGACGUCGACGUGGAUCCGUCAGGCAGUCCACAAGGUGCAGACGAUGACAGUCCGUAAGGAGUUUGCCAAGGCGAUUCAUGAGCUCAAGAAGAUUUCACAGGAGUCAUCCAAGUUGAGAGAAGCUUAUUACAGCGCCAGCAUCGGUGCUGGCACCUCCUCUUGCUCAGCGUUGCCGCUAUCUGUGGCGUGUGAGAUGACAACAGAGAUGGCGAUAGAUGACACCCUCUCAGCUGACAGACCUGUGGGCAUGGACGCGCCUCGGGAUGAGCUUCUCGAGCUGAUCCAGCAGCAGCAACAGCAGCUCAAGGUGAUUUCCAUUGUUGGUUUCGAUGGUAUAGGCAAGACUCUCCUUGCCAGGUGUGUGUACAACACAAUUGAGAACCAAUACGAAGCUCGGGCUUGGGUCUCUGCAGCGGAGCAAGGGGCCCCAACAAAUGUUCUCAAGGAGAUACUCCACCAGCUUGACAUCCCCACAAAUGGCGGAGGCAACCUCAGCAAGCUCUGCUCAAUUCUCAGAUUGUACCUUGGGAACAAGAGGUUCUUCAUUGUAAUCGAUGACAUGCGGACAGAAUUUUGGCAUGACAUAAAAAAUGCGUUUGUGGGGUUGAGCGGCAGAGUUCUGGUGACAACAGCCAUCCAUUCAGUAGCAAAUACCUGCAGCAGCUCAGCAGCUCAUGAUCAUGUGUACGCAAUGAAAACUCUUGCCGAUGAACACUCAAGACUGCUAUUCUUCAAGGAAGCUUUCCAAGAUGACAAUCCACCAGUUGAUAAAGAGGAUCAGCUUGGCUCGGAGGCACUGAAGAAGUGUGAUGGUUUACCCCUUGCCCUUGUUACCACAGCCCGGUACUUGCAAAGCACAGGUAAUCCGACACAUGGAAACUGGGCAACAUUAUGCCACAACCUGGGAGCACAUCUGGAAACAAAAGAGAUGUUAGCAAGAAUGAAGCGUGUGCUUGUCCAUAGCUACACUAGCCUUGUUAAACAUGAUGUCAAGACGUGCUUGCUAUAUCUUGGUAUCUACCCUAGUGGCCGUACAGUUCGGAGAGGAAGCUUGAUAAGGAAAUGGUGCGCUGAAGGGUUUAUCCAAGGAGAUUAUAUGUGUAAUGCUCUGGAUGCUGCUAUCGGCAAUUUCAAAGAGCUUGUCAACCGGAGCAUCAUUCAGCGUACAGAUGCCAGCAGCAAAAACAACGAAGAUCGGGUGAAGACAUACCAUACUCACGGCAUGAUGCUUGAGUUCAUCCUGCACAUGUCCAAGUGUGACAACUUCAUUACCUUGUUAUAUGAUCAAAUGGCUCCCCCACCCCCGCCCAGCAAAAUCCGUUGGCUCUCCCUCCAUGACACAAGUGCCAAAGUAGCCAAUGAUCUAUCUCUGGUCCGGUCUCUGACCGUCUUUGGCAAGGCGCAUGAAUCAGUCUUGGAUUUUUGCAAAUAUGAACUGCUUCGGGUUUUGGAUCUAGAAGAAUGCAGUAACCACUUGGAGGACAAGCACCUUAGGGAGAUAUGCAGCAACCUGUUGCUGCUCAGGUACCUAAGCCUUGGGGCAGCUGUUAAGGUUACAGCGCUCCCCAAAGAGAGCAAGAAACUUCAACUUUUGGAGACGCUGGAUGCAAGAAGAACCAAGAUAGAGAUUCUUCCCACACAAGUCAUGGAGCUUCCAUGCUUGAUUCAUCUAUUUGGAAAGUUCAAGCUCCAAGAAGGUGUAGGAAGCCGGAAAAUGCAUAAGCUACAAACCUGGUUCUCAGAGAAUAGCAAAUUGGAAACGGUAGCAGGAUUUGUUGUGGACAACAACAAGAGCCAAGGAUUUGCACAGCUCAUGGAGCAUAUGAAGCACUUGACGAAGGUGAAAAUAUGGUGCGAGAAGUCCACUAAUAAUAGCACGGAUCCCACUGCCAGUGGCAGCAACAGCAGCACCAACAACUACACUCAUGUCUCAAAUGCCAUCAAGGGGUUCAUCAAGAGAAGCACCGACGUGAAAAAGGCUCAUUCACUCUCAAUACAUUUCAAUGAUAAAUGGUUCCAAGACUUGCUCGUGAACUUGUCCCUAGAAAAAGAAGAAGCUUCCUCCUGCUAUCUUAGCUCAUUCAAGUUACAAGGGGGCAACAUAUGCAGCCUGCCUCCAUUUGUUACCAUGCUAGGUGGUCUCACUAAGCUGUGCCUUUCAUCCCCUCGUCAUCAGCUGAGCGGGGAUAUUCUUGCUGCCCUGAGCAGAGUGCGCUGCUUGGCGUACCUGAAGCUGAUUGCAUCUCAACUGGACAAACUCGUCAUCAUAAAAGGUGCACUUGGAAGCCUGCGACGACUAUGCAUCGUGGUUGAAGUCAUGACUGAACUGGAAGUCCAAGAGGGAGCUCUGCCACUCCUCGAGUCGCUCCAGCUGCUAUGUAAGGAUCUAAAUGGCGUUUGCUGCACGACAAUCCAGUCCCUGCGGCGUAUUAAGGAGGUCACCCUCCAUGAUGGAGUGAACUAUGAAACAAAACAAAAGUGGAAGGAAGCGGCAAAAAAACACCCCAGACGCCCCAAGCUCUUGUUUGUUAAGACAGCAGAAGAUGUUGAUAUGGAAUGUGAACCUGCAGACAAUUCUGAGAGCCCUGUGGUGCCAACUACUGCUACAACGUUAUCAGUGAUAACACCCCACCAUGCCAUUUCUACUGGACAGUCUGCACAAGUUGAUUGUGAUGAUCUGCAACAGGGUGAUGAUGAGAAAGAAGAUACAGACAAAACUGAUAUCCUAGAGGAUUUUGCUAGCAAGACUUGUCUGGACCCUCCAGUGGACAAGGAAAGGUUUGAACAGGGGAUGGAAGGAAUGGUAGGUUUACAGGAUCAGCAGAUGCAAGAUGUCACUUGGUCUACUGAUCAGGCUGAUCAAAAUGUUGUACUUUUGGCGGUGGGUGAGAACAGAAGAAAGAGGGCAAGAUUGGACAUUGGUGAAGACAAUUCAAUGGACAAGGUUGUUGAUAGAGUGAAGCGCAAGAACCCGGAGGAUGUCCAAGUCAUUGACUGGCUUGCAGAAUCGAGGCCAACAAAACAAACAGUGCCUGGGCUCGCAGUUGCUGUCUCCAAUGGAAAGUGA